RNAcentral lists this long non-coding RNA (7986 nucleotides) under Homo sapiens (human). RNAcentral describes it as "non-protein coding lnc-SNX5-1:2". The record is from RNAcentral. Lineage: Eukaryota; Metazoa; Chordata; Mammalia; Primates; Hominidae.
ACUCUCGGGACGCGGCUGUGGGCUGGGCAGGAGGGAGCCAAGUCUGGGGUGCACUGGGGAGCCCAGAACCACUGCUAUGCUCUGCAAAACUCUGAGGCGCUUCCAAAAGUUUGGAGCUGGGCAUGUAUUUUACUGAUUUCUAAAAAUCGUAAGCGGUUGUUCGGGGGGAGGAGAAGGGUGUUGGGGUGACGGGGUGUCCGCGCUGGAGACUCAGCUGUGUGCGCCCUGAUUCAGACGAGGGAGGCCUUCCAGGUGGGGGUGGGCAGGGAGCUUCUGGGGAAGAAUGCAUCCUGAGGGCGGAGAGCUACAGGGUAAGGGGGCCAGGCUGUCGGCAUUAGAGGGGUGUCUGCGUUUGGCUGCAGCCCAGCCCGCAGGCUCCAGAGUCUGGGAGCCGCGAAGGAGCCGCCCUUAUCAGGCAGUAGGGCGAGCUGCCCCAGGGGACAGUCUCUGUGCUGAGGGCAUUCCUCGACCUGGGUCGUGGCGCCUACUAGCAGGGGGUUCCAGGAUUCCCAGGGCAGAGCUGUCCGGUGUGAGGUGUCCAGCUGGCUUGAGGCCUGUGGCCCUGAAGGCCGGGUGGGCCAGGAGGCUGAGAGGCAGCCACCUUUAAAGGGAGCCAGAGCAGGGAGGGAAACGGAGCUCUUCCCCUGCCGUCCUGGCGCUGUUCCUGCCAAUAGACAAGGCAGAUGUGUACAAUGAUUAUAGUCUUUUUGUUUGUUUUAAGAGACAGCCUUGCUGUGUUGCCCAGGCUGGAGUGAGUGCAGUGGCUUGUUCAUAGCUCACUGCAGCCUGGAACUCCUGGGCUCAGGGGAUCCUCCCACUUCAGCUUCCCAAGUAACUGGGACUACAGGUGUGUGCCACCAUGCCCUGCUAAUUUUUUUUUUUUUUUUUUGAGACGGAGUUUCGCUCUUGUUGCCCAGGCUGGAGUGCAAUGGCGGGAUCUCAGCUUACUGCAACCUCUGCCUCCCAGGUUCAAGCGAUUCUCCUGCCUCUCGGCCUCCCGAGUAGCUGGGAUUACAGGCAUGUGCCACCACUCCCGGCUAAUUUUAUAUUUUUAGUAAAGACGGGGUUUCUCCAUGUUGGUCAGGCUGGUUUUGAACUCCCGACCUCAGGUGAUCCGCCUGUCUCGGCCUCCCAAAGUGCUGGGAUUACAGGUGUUAGCCACUGCACCCAGCCACCCCACUAAUUUUUAAAUUAUUUAUUUAUUUAGAGACAGAAUCUCACUCUGUCACCCAGGUUGGAAUGCAGUGGCACCAUCAUAGCUCACUGCAGCCUCAACCUCCAGGGUUCCAGGGAUUCUCCUGCUUCAGCCUCCCAAGCAGCUGGGACUAUAGGCGUGGGCCAGCCCAUCAGACUAAUUUUUUUUUUCAGAUCCUCACAUCUCAGAUGAACAUCCAGCUAAUUUUAAAAAGUUUUGUAGAGAUGGGGUCUUGCUAUGUUGACCAGGCUGGUCUCGAACUCCUGGGCUCAAGCAACUCUCCUACCUCAGCCUCCCAAAGUGUUAGGAUUACAGGUGGGAGCCAUCACACCACCCAGCCUGAUUAUAACAUUUUAACUGUGGGCCAGGCACUGUGUUAAGUCUAAGUCUGCGUAUGUUCAAAGUAGCCUUUGCAACUGGUCUAUCGAGGUAGGUAUUUAUCAUUCCUGUUUUACAGAGGACUCAAAGGUAAAUGAUAUGGCAGAUGUGGUCAGUGCCCCAAUGUCUCCCGGGCACUGGGAGGUGACCUCAGACCAUUCCAUGUGUGCCUGUGGCUCCCUGUAUCUCUCUACAGGGCAUGCUCUAUGGCCCUUGGAGUGUGGGGAGUUAACACCUCAAGAGUGAUUCUCAGCUGGUGGGCGAGGGAUGGGAGUUGUAUGAAAACCCCAGGGUGCUUGCUCCUUGAUGAGACAAUUUUAUUUUUAAUUGUAGUAAAAAAAACACAUAGCAUAAAAUUUACCAUCUGAACCAUUUAUAAGUGUAUAGUACAGUAGUAUUAACUGUUUGCACCUUGUUGUGUAAUAGAACUUUUCAUCUUGCAAAACUGAAACUCUAUACCCAUUAAAUAACUCCCCAUUCCCUCUCUCUGCAGGCCCUGGCAACCACAUUCUACUUUCUGUCUGUGAAUUUGACACUUUAGGUACCUUGUAUGCAGUAUGUGUCCUUCUGUGACUGGCUUAUUUCACUGAGCAUAAUGUCCUCAAGAUUCGUCCAUGUUGUAACGUGUAUCUGAAUUUCCCUUUUUUUUUUUUGUAUUUUUAGUAGAGAUGUGGUUUCACUAUGUUGGCCAGGCUGGUCUUGAACACCUGACCUCAUGAUCCACCCGCCUCAGCCUCCCAAAGUGCUGGGAUUACAGGCAUGAGCCACUGCAUCCAGCCAGCAUUUAUCCUUUCUUUGUGUUACAAACAAUCCAGUUAUACUCUUAGUUGUCUUUAAAUGUAUAAUAUACUAUUGUUGACUGCUGUCAGUUUGUUGUGCUAUCAAAUAUUAGAUCUUAUUUAUUCUAUCUAACUAUAUUUUUGUAUCCGUUAACCAUCCCCACUCUACCCCCACCCCACUACCCUUCCCAGCCUCUGGUAACCAUCCUUUUACUCUCUAUCACCAUGAGUUCAAUUGUUGUAAUAUUUAGCUCCCACAAAUAAGUGAGGACAUGUGAAGUUUGUCUUUCUGUGCAUGGCUUGUUUCACUUAACAUAAGAACCUCCAGUUCCGUUCAUGUUGUUGCAAAUGACAGGAUCUCAUUCUUUUUUAUGGCAGAAUGGUACUCCAUUGUGUAUAUGUACCACAUUUUCUUUAUCCAAUCAUCUGUUGAUGGACACUUAGGUGGCUUCCAAAUCUUGGCUAUUGUGAACAGAGCUGCAACAAACAUGGAAGUGCAGAUAUCCUUUCAUUAUGCUGAUUUCCUUUUUUGGGGGUAUAUUUUUAGCAGUGGAAUUGCUGGAUCAUAUGGUAGUUCUAUUUUUAGUUUUUUGAGGAACCUCCAAGCUGUUCUCCCUAGUGGCUGUACUAAUUUACAUUCCCACCAACAGUGUACAAGGGUUCCCUUUUCUCCACAUCCUUGACAGCAUUUGUUAUUGCCUGUCCAAAAGACAAAAGCCAUUUUAACUGGGGUGAGAUGACCUCUCAUUGUAGUUUUGAUUUGCAUCUCUCUGAUGACCGAUAAUGUUGAGCACCUUUCAAUAUGCCUGUUUGCCAUCUGUAUGUUUUCUUUUGAGAAAUGUCUAUUCAGAUCUUUUGCCCAUUUUUGGUUGGAUUAUUAGAUUUUUUUCUAUAGACUGGUUUGAGCUCCUUAUAUGUCCUGGCUAUUAAUUCUUUGCCAGAUGGAUAGUUUGCAGAUAUUUUCUCCUAUUCUGUGGGUUGUUUCUUUAUUUUGUUGAUUGUUUCCUUUGCUGUGCAGAAGCUUUUUAACUUGAUGUGGUUUGUCCAUGUUUGCUUUAGUUGUCUGUGCUUGUGGGGUAUUAUUCAAGAAAUCUUUGCUCAGUCCAAAGUCCUGGAGAGAUUUUUUCCCAAUGUUUUCUUUUAAUAGUGUCAUAGUUUCAGGUCUUAGAUUUAAGUCUUUAAUACGUUUUGAUUUGAUUGUUGUAUAUGGCAAGAGAUAGGGGUCUAGUUUCAUUCUUCUGCAUAUGGAUAUCCAGUUUUCCCAGCACUAUUUAUUGAAGAGACUGUCCUUUCCUCAAUGUAUGUUCUUGGUACCUUUGUAAAAAAUGAGUUCACUGUAGAUGUAUGGGUUUUUUCCUGGGUUCUCCAUUGUUUUCUGUUGGUCUACGUGUCAGUUUUUAUGCCAGUGCUGUGCUGUUUUGGUUACUAUAGCUCUGUAAUAUAACUGGAAGUCAGGUUAUGUGAUUCCUCCAGUUUUGUUCUUUUUGCUGAGGAUAUCUUUGGAUACUCUGGGUCUUUGUGGUUCCAUAUAUAUUUUAGGAUUUUUUUUUCUAUUUCUGUGAAGAAUGUCAUUGUUAUUUUGAUAGGGAUUGUAUUGAAUCUAUAGAUUGCUUGGGAUAGUAUGAACAUUUUGACAAUAUUGGUUAUUUCAAUUCAUGAACAUGUAAUAUCUUUUCAUUUUUUGGUGUCUUCAAUUUCUUUCAUUAAGAUUUUGUAGUUUUCAUUGUAGAGCUCUUUCACUUCUUUGGUUAAGUUAUUUCCUAGGUAUUUUAUUUCAUUGGUAACUAUUGUAAAUGGAAUUACUUUCUGGAUUUCUUUUACAGAUUGUUUGCUGUUGGCAUAUAGAAAUGCUACUGAUUUUUGUAUGUUUUUUUUGUAUCCUGCAACUUUACUGAAUUUAUCAAUUCUAAUAGUUUUUGUUGAUGGAUAUUUUUUGUUUGUUUGUUUCUUGUUUUUUGUUUGAGACGGAGUUUUGCUCUUGUUGCCUAGGCUGGAGUGCAAUAGCGCCAUAUUAGCUCACUGCAACCUCCACCUCCAGGUUCAAGCAAUUCUCCUGCCUCAGCCUUUCAAGCAGCUGGGAUUACAGGCACCCGCCACCACACCCAGCCAAUUGUUUGUAUGUUUAGUAGAGAUGGGGUUUCACUGUGUUGGCCAGACUGGUCUUGAACUCCUGACCUCAGAUGAUCCACCCACCUCGGCCUCUCAAAGUGCUGGGAUUACAGGUGUGAGCCACCAUGCCUGGCUGAUAUUUACUUUUUUAAACAUUUAAUUGUUAUUUUUGUAAAAAUAGAGAUGAGGUCUCACUGUAUUGCCCAGGCUGAUCUCCAAUUCCUGAGCUAGAGUGAUCCUCCAGCCUUGGCUUCCCAAAAUGCUGGAAUUACAGGUGUGAGCCACCACACCUGACCUGUUGAUGGAUAUUUAGUUUGCUUCCACCUUGUGACUAUUGUGAAUAAUGCUGCAGUGAACAUAGGUAUGGAAAUAUCUCUUCAAAAUCCUAUUUUUAAUUCUUUUAGUUAUAUACUUAGAAAUGGGAUUGCUGGAUCAUGCAGUAGUUUUAGUUUUAAUCCCCUACCUGUAUUUCCUGGAUUCAUCACCCAAAUAAACUAUAUGCUCCAAGCCUUUGUCUCGGUAUGUGCUUCUGGCAGGAACCUAAGCUUAAGCUUGUCACUUGCUUCAGGUUACUCAGUCAAUAAGUGGCUCUUCUGAAUAUCUAUUGCUGUAAAAUGAGCUGUCCCCAAAUCCAGUGGCUUAAAACAACACUUCGCAAUUACUUCUGCUUCUGUGAAUUGGCUGGGCUCAGCUGGGUGGCUUUCACUUGGGGUCUGCCAUGGCUGCAGUCAGGUGUUGGCUGGGGCUGGAGGGUCUGAAGGCUCGACUGGGCUGGAGGCCCACAGUGGCUCACUUGCACACUGGCCAUUGAUGGCAGGAAGCUCAGCUGAGGCAGUCUGCCAGAACUUCUGCAAGGGGUCUCUUCAUGUGGUGAGGGCUUCCUCACAACAUGGUGGCUGAGUUCUGAGCGUAGAGUCUCAAGAACAAACAUUCCAAGAGACAGGAACAGGCAACUGUUAAGGGCCUUGUCUUUAAAUGGCAGUGUCACUUGUGCCAUAUGCAUUUUAGAGCGGGGUGAAGAAAUGGACCCCCUGGUGGGAUGGGGCAAGGCCAUGCUGCAGAAGAGCAUGUGGGAAGGGAGAGAUUUUUGUGGCCAUCUUUGGAAGACACAGUUGGCCAUAGUGACAGAGGCAGUAUUCAGACCCAGGCAGUCUGACUUGAGAAGCUGAUUGCAACCUCUAUGCUGCCUCCACUUGAGAACACAUUCUGAGAAUUCUUGACGUUUCUAAGGGACUGGAGAGCCAGCAAUAAUGGCAAACCUAAGAAAUGCUAUUUUUGUUUAUUAUGACCUCUUUUUAAUGUCCAGACUGAUGUGGCUGGGUGAAUUACAGGUCUCAAGCAGAUUCCAAAAUGUAGAGACAGUAACCUUGAUGUUGACUUUUGGAAAAUUAUAGAGCAGAGCGUGACAUAAACUCAUUUGUGAACAGCAGGGAAAAAAAAUGCAGUGAUGGUGAGGUGGGAGAGUUUGGUGGGGAUGAGCUGUGCCCAGCUGUGGUGGGUGGCAUAAUGGCCCCCUAGAGAUAUCAGGUCCUAACCCUUGGAGCCUAUAAAUGUUACCCUGUAAGAAAAAUGGGUCUUUGCAGAAGUGAGUAAGAAUCUUGAGAUAAGAGAUUAUCCUGGACUCUCCUGUGGGCCCUAAAUGCCAUCACAAGUGUCCAUAUAAGACAGAGUUAGACUUGACUCACACUCAGAGAAGAAAGCCAUGUGAAGACAGAGAAGAGAAGGAUUUGAAGACACUGGAUGUGAGAAUUAGAGUGAUGUGGCCAUAAGCCAAGGAAUGCUGUAGCUCCCAGAAGCUGGAAGAGGCAAGGAACAGUUUCUCUCCUAAAGCCUCCAGAGGGAGCACAGCCCCACUGAUGGAUUGAUUUCAGUUUGGUGGCACUGAUUUCAGACUUCUGGUCUCCAGGACUGUGAGGUAAUAAAUUUCUGUUGUUUUAAGACCAAAAGUUCAUGGUAAUUAUAGCAACCACAGGCAACGAAUACACAAACCAACUUUCUUUUUAGACAGUACUGGAUAAUGGGGUAAAUAAAUUUGUGUCCAGCCAGCAUUUUAUGUUACUGUUUUUUUUUGUUUUUUGUUUUUUGUUUUUUUGUGAGACAGGGUCUUGCUAUGUUGUUUAUGCCAAUCUCGAACACCUGGGCCCCAGUGAUCCAGUCUCAGCCUCCUGAGUAGCUGGGACUACAGGCAUAGGCCACCACCCCCAGCCGGCAUUUUAAUAAAGGAUUGGCAAACUCACUGGUAAUGACGGUGUUUUUUGGUGGGAUUUAUGGCAGAUUGCACGUCUAUCAGCAAAGUGUUUGCCAUCAAGGAGUCCGUUGCCCUGGUGGUCAUGGAGUACCAAAGGGCUCUGUGGUGAGCUCUGCCCUAGCCAAUCAACGUUCAGUCCACUUUCUGGAUGAAGAUGGCAGAAAGUACAGGGUCAGAUGUGCAGGUGACACAUAUUGGAGGGAACAGUGAAAGUGACAGCCAAAUGGGAGAUGAAAGUGAUUUCGAUAGAUUGGAACUUUGGAGUAAGGCCAAGAUCAAUUGAUAUCAGAGAAAGUUAGGUUUUAAAGAGAAAUCUGGUGUCCAAGCAUAGAACCAGUUGAGGAGGUCUGGGCGGUCUGGGCGGUGUGUGUGAAAAGAAGCUCAGGGUUUCAGUCGCCACCAGCGUGGUGCUGUUUUUGUAAGGGGAACCUAAUUUGGGGCACUAUGGGACGAUAGUGUCCAGUUCAUAGAAGCAGAUGGUCCCAGGGUGAUCACGGCUGGUUGAAGCAUACUGAACUACUUUGCUUCAUUUUUAAUACCCCUCCCCUUUUUGAAAAUGUGUAGCAGGACAAUAUGGGAUCAGGAAACCAAGUGUUCUGACUCUGCAUUGUCUGCCCCUCCGUGUUCAUUCUCUGACCUCCUCUACUCUGACCCCAGGAGGCUGACCUCUCUGGACGAAUAUUAGCUAGCUAAUGCUGUGGAACAAAUCAUCCCGUGGAACAAAACAUAGUGGCCUAAAGCAACAAUAAUCAUUUAAUGUCUCACAGUUUCUGUGGGUUGGGAAUCCAGGAGUGGCUUCUGACUCAUGAGGUUGGCAUCAAGAUGCAGCUGGGUUUGUAGUCACCUGAAGGCGUGGCUGGGGCUGGAGAUGGCUUCCCACCACGGAUGAUGAGUUCGUGUGGCUGUUGGCAGGAGGCCUCAGUUUUUCACCUUCUGGACGCCUGCACAGGGCUGCUUAAGCAGCCUCACAACAUGGCAGCUGACUCUCGCCAUCGUGAGUGAUUCAAGAGAGAGCAAGAUGGAAGCCGCAAUAUCUAUGAUGACCUGGUCACAGUCUGUCAUUUCCACAACUGGUAACACAGGUCAGCCCUAUUUAAUGUGGGAGGGGACUACAUGAGGGCAGGAUUGCCAGGAGGUGGGGUGCAUCUGGAAGGCUGGCUGCCACAGGAACAGUGGGAGGGGAUGUGCUGUGGCCAGAAGAAAAUCAGGACAGACCAGAGCUGGAGGGUAUGAUCUGCCCCAACUCAGGUUGGCCAAGUUCAAGCCCCAGUUCCGGG